This 2373-nucleotide unclassified non-coding RNA is filed under the name uncultured fungus. Its description in RNAcentral is "sequence contains 18S rRNA gene, ITS1, 5.8S rRNA gene, ITS2, 28S rRNA gene". The stretch from base 1258 to 2373 matches the Rfam family "Eukaryotic large subunit ribosomal RNA", at positions 1 to 961 of the family's 3401-position model. The record is from RNAcentral. Lineage: Eukaryota; Fungi.
GGUUGGAUCAUUAUAAGCUCUCUCGCUCGGUCCCCGAUCUCGGGGCGGAAGACCCCCCUCGCGGGGGUCGACCGCCGCCUGAAAAGGGCCACAAAACCCGGUCUGCUUGCCGCCUGGGGCUUACCCCCCAGGAGGCCGGCGAUCGGAAAAACAAUCGUGAUAAACUAUCGCAUAGUAACCAUAUAAACUUUCACUGGCCUCAGUUUCCUAGGGAAAAAGCAGUGGUCCAGAGGGGGUGUGGGCAGGCAGGUGGUUUGGCUUUCAGCCGAACGCGCUCGCUUGCUUGCCCUGCCCCCUCCGUUGAUAGCUGCGCCAAGGAGUAGUGGUCCAGAGGGGUGCGCAGGUAGGCGAGUGGUUUGGCUUUCAGCCGAACGCGCUCGCUCGCUUACCCGCCCCCCUCCGUCGAUAGCUGCCCCUAAAAGUACCCAGGACCCAAACAUUAUAACCAUCUGCGGCGGAUGUCUAGGCUACCCCUUCGAUGAAGAGCGCAGCUAAGUGCGAUAACUAGUGUGAAUUGCAGAGUUCGCGAAUCAUCGAGUUCUUGAACGCAUUGCGCCUUAGAGCCUCGGCUCUUCGGCAUACUCUAUUCAGCGGCGAGCAACCUAUGCCACUCGUGGCGAUUGGUCUAAGCAGGAGCCCAACCCUGCACUGACCUAAGUUCUGGUUCAUCUGUGUGUGUGUGUGUGUGUGGUGGCUAGUACCCCGCUUAGGCGGGCGAACUCCUCCCCCCCACUCACCGGUGGACUGGGUGUAUAAAUCGAAGGGCAUGCCCAACACUCAAAAGCAAGCCUAGGGAUACCCGGUCUUGGCCUCUUUUGCCGGACAGGUGUCGGUACUCUUGUGUCGAUGAGCGGGCCAGCAGGCUCUCUCGGUCGCACCUCGAAAACUAGCAGCUAUCGGUUCCUUUCUCUGUGGUCUCUGAAGCACUUCCCCCGGGAAGCUGCUGACGGUAAGCGGGAUCGGUUCACGCGGCUUAAACUCGGGGAAUCAUGCGGUCGUGGGGGACGAAUGGCUCAAUCUAGCAAGGGGGUACUUUCACCACGUUCGGAGCGCUCAAUCGAGGCACUUGGUCGUGCACAACCACCACAUCUCUCUCCUCUGUCCCGUCUAGCCGGCGGUCCAGCAGGAGGGAGGGACUCCUUCUUUCUGUCCCGUCAAGCCAGUCUUGGCAGCAGGAAGGGGGAGGUGCGCGUGUGCGGCCACGAGUCCCCCCCCCGGGGGGACAGGGACCGAAUCUCUAGGCGAGCGAACGCUUUAUGCCCUGAAGUAGAGUAAGAAUACCCCGAGGAUUUAAGCAUAUCAUUAUCGGGAGGAAAAGAAACUAACAAGGAUUCCCCUAGUAACUGCGAGUGAAGCGGGAAGAGCUCAAGCCCAAAUCUGGUGGUCUCCGGACCAUCCGACGUGUAGCCUUUGGAACCAGACCUGAUCGGGGAAACUUCUAACUUCUCCUGGAACGGAAGGCCAUAGAGGGUGAUAGCCCCGUUGAGGUCUUUCUCGGUCAUCAGGGUCGAAGUUCUUAGAGUCGCACACCUUGAGAUCGGUGUGCUAAUUGGGAGGUAAACGCCUUCUAAAGCUAAAUAUUGGGGGGUAGACCGAUAGUGCACAAGUAGCGUGAGCGAAAGAUGCAAAGAACUCUGGAGAGAGAGUUAAAAGUACCUGAAACCGCAGUUGGGGAAGCGAUUGGCCGUAGCCACACGCCGCGAUGGGGUUCAAGCCGGGGAGGGUCGAGGCUGGGGUGGAGAUUUGGGCCGACCGGCCCUAUCGAAGCUCUAGCCGAGGCUCCGCUCGGUGGCACUCUCUGUCAGGCGACCAGUGGGGAUUGGCCCGGCUGUAGAAGUGGGGUUCGGGGAAGCACGCCUCGGUGUGCGGAUCCGCUUCCUAUCAUGCAGCCGGCGAUCGGUCCUAGUCUUAAGCUCAGGGGAAAGGCCGCAAGGCGAGCUGUCCGUCGGAAGUCGGGGCGACGGUCGGGGUUACUGCCUAGCAGUGGCUCCGGCUGGCGUUCCGUCGGAAGGCGGCGGCUCACUUUCCCGGGCACUGGCAGUGCGAGGUUAAUUGUCCCGUCUUGAAACACGGACCAAGGAGUGUAUCGCCAUGCCGAGUCUAAGGGUGUCAAAACCCGAAGGCGAAGCGAAAGCGUAAGGAACCUAUCCGGCCCCCGUGGCUGGCCGCAGUUCCGUUCUCUCGUCGGGUUCACCCGUAGAGGGAAAAGGAGGCAUCGCGAUACGACCCGAAAGAAGGCGAACUAUACCUGUGUAGGUUGAAGCCAGGAGAAAUCCUGGUGGAGGAUCGUAGCGAUACUGACGUGCAAAUCGUUCGUCAAACAUGGGCAUAGCGGCGAAAGACUAAUCGAGCCUUCUAGUAGCUGGUUCCCUU